This 200-nucleotide unclassified non-coding RNA is filed under the name Polyporales sp. RNAcentral's name for it is "partial internal transcribed spacer 2". The record is from RNAcentral. Lineage: Eukaryota; Fungi; Basidiomycota; Agaricomycetes; Polyporales.
UUAAGUUCAGCGGGUAGUCCUACCUGAUUCGAGGCCAGAUGUGAAAUGAAACGCCAGUAAAGGCGGUCCUCGAAGGGACGGUUAGAAGCCUUCGAAUGAUGACCCAGCGCCUUGACGGCUGCCCGCGUUGAUGUAUUAUCACACGGUUUAACUGAAGUCGAAAUCGUCAGCUAAUGCAUUCAAGACGAGCCGAACGGUGA